CAGCAGCCGCGGUAAAACGUAGGGUGCAAGCGUUAAUCGGAAUUACUGGGCGUAAAGCGUGCGCAGGCGGUUGUGUAAGACAGGUGUGAAAUCCCCGGGCUUAACCUGGGAACUGCGCUUGUGACUGCACAGCUAGAGUAUGGCAGAGGGGGGUGGAAUUCCACGUGUAGCAGUGAAAUGCGUAGAGAUGUGGAGGAGCACCGAUGGCGAAGGCAGCCCCCUGGGCCAAUACUGACGCUCAUGCACGAAAGCGUGGGGAGCAAACAGGAUUAGAUACCCCCGUAGUCCCUGUCUCUUAUAC
This 301-nucleotide ribosomal RNA is filed under the name uncultured bacterium. Its description in RNAcentral is "partial 16S ribosomal RNA". It matches the Rfam family "Bacterial small subunit ribosomal RNA", at positions 509 to 807 of the family's 1533-position model. The record is from RNAcentral.